UCUAAACAUGCAUAAUCUAAUUUCAUGACAUUAUUCCUGAUUUUAUAGAUGAAGAAUCUGAGCCACUAAGAGAUGACAUCACUUGGCCAAGGUCACACAACUUCUGGGGCCAAUGUUCUGUUUUGCCUUUGUGAAGCAGAGGGAACACGCAUUGCACUUUUCUGCAGGAAAAACAAGCUGAUGUCAGGGAUUCUUUUAGAAAAGCAACUUUCAGGGCCAUUGCUGAGAUCACCACCCAUUCAGCAAAUGUCCCAAACGCUGAAUGCACUUCUGUGUCUCAGCCCCGUGGCAUAACUGGUGUUCAUCACGACCGCCUUCGACUACCCAGGAAAGGUUAAUUUAUAUUUUGUAAGCUCUGCUUAAUGAGGUAGGGGGAGUGAGUAACGAGCUUUAAAAAGAUCUCUAUCAGAACCAAAUUACGGAAGUUAAGCAGUUAAAUGAAUUAACCCCUCCACCCGAAAAGCUCGGCUAACCCGGUGACGCUUUCUGGAGGACCCUCAGCUUCAGACGUUGUCCCUUCUGGACGGACUGUGCUCACAGGCCACCGGUGUUUCUCCUUCAUCUGCACGUCAGGAAUGAGCAGUGUCUCACCAUUCUCUCCCUGGCAAGUACUCCCAGGAGAUGGCGGGGAUCACGCGGUCAAGUUCUCUUUCUUCCCCGGGCCUCGGUCUGAAAUUCCCCAAACGUUUGGGGCCCUGCAAUGCUGGGCAGCAGGCAGUUUCCCCAGCAGUUGCCCUGGCAUCUUGCCCCCUUCGCACAAAGCAAUCACUGUUGCAGAAAAUGAGGGUCCUGUGACCGUUUGGCACCAACCCCCGCCUGGCAUUCGCGUGGGAGAAGGAAAUGUCUGUCUCUCUGACAAUAGAUUCUGAUCACAACCCGGGCCCCUUUCAGAGAAACAGCUUCCCAUAGAAUGACUGCCUAGAGGAUACCAUACCGCACCAUGUCUCCUGUGAUCGGUGAAGCUUUCUCUGUUGUUCCUUAUUUUCCACGACCUUGACGUUUUUAGGUAUUUUAUUGAAUGUCCCCCGAUUUAGGCUUCUCUGAAGUUUUCUCAUGAUUAGACCCGAGUUAUGGAUUUUCUGGAGGUAUACCACAGAGGCAAAGUGCCCUUGCUUUCCACCCUAUAUCAGGAAAUGCUACGGAUUGGAAGUGAAUCACUAAGUCCAGCUUAUACUCAGAGGGGGGGAACUGAAACCCCACUCCCUGGAGGGGGGGAGAAUCUACAUCUAUAAUUUGGAAUUCCUCUAUAAAGAUUUGUCUCUUCCCGGUAA
Long non-coding RNA from Leopardus geoffroyi (Geoffroy's cat), 1271 nucleotides. RefSeq lists it as uncharacterized. The record is from RefSeq and is a predicted model, not a curated record. The transcript is spliced from 3 exons. Lineage: Eukaryota; Metazoa; Chordata; Mammalia; Carnivora; Felidae.